This 205-nucleotide ribosomal RNA is filed under the name uncultured bacterium. RNAcentral's name for it is "partial 16S ribosomal RNA". It matches the Rfam family "Bacterial small subunit ribosomal RNA", at positions 524 to 726 of the family's 1533-position model. The record is from RNAcentral.
UACGAAGGGGGCUAGCGUUGCUCGGAAUUACUGGGCGUAAAGCGCACGUAGGCGGAUUGUUAAGUCGGGGGUGAAAUCCUGGAGCUCAACUCCAGAACUGCCUUCGAUACUGGCGAUCUCGAGUUCGGGAGAGGUGAGUGGAACUGCGAGUGUAGAGGUGAAAAUUCGUAGAUAUUCGCAAGAACACCAGUGGCGAAGGCGGACU